RNAcentral lists this ribosomal RNA (497 nucleotides) under uncultured bacterium. RNAcentral describes it as "partial 16S ribosomal RNA". It matches the Rfam family "Bacterial small subunit ribosomal RNA", at positions 28 to 507 of the family's 1533-position model. The record is from RNAcentral.
GACGAACGCUGGCGGCGUGCCUAAUACAUGCAAGUAGAACGCUGAAGAGAGGAGCUUGCUCUUCUUGGAUGAGUUGCGAACGGGUGAGUAACGCGUAGGUAACCUGCCUUGUAGCGGGGGAUAACUAUUGGAAACGAUAGCUAAUACCGCAUAACAAUAGGUGGCACAUGUCAUUUAUUUGAAAGGGGCAAUUGCUCCACUACAAGAUGGACCUGCGUUGUAUUAGCUAGUAGGUGAGGUAACGGCUCACCUAGGCGACGAUACAUAGCCGACCUGAGAGGGUGAUCGGCCACACUGGGACUGAGACACGGCCCAGACUCCUACGGGAGGCAGCAGUAGGGAAUCUUCGGCAAUGGGGGCAACCCUGACCGAGCAACGCCGCGUGAGUGAAGAAGGUUUUCGGAUCGUAAAGCUCUGUUGUAAGUCAAGAACGAGUGUGAGAGUGGAAAGUUCACACUGUGACGGUAGCUUACCAGAAAGGGACGGCUAACUACGUG